AUACGGAGGGGGCAAGCGUUGUUCGGAAUUACUGGGCGUAAAGGGCGCGUAGGCGGCGUCGUUAGUCAGGUGUGAAAUCCCCGGGCUCAACCUGGGAACUGCACUUGAUACUGCGGUGCUAGAGAUCGGAAGAGGGUAGUGGAAUUCCCAGUGUAGAGGUGAAAUUCGUAGAUAUUAGGAAGAACACCAGUGGCGAAGGCGGCUACCUGGUCCGAUACUGACGCUGAGGCGCGAAAGCAUGGGGAGCAAACAGGAUUAGAAACCCCAGUAGUCC
This 274-nucleotide ribosomal RNA is filed under the name uncultured bacterium. RNAcentral describes it as "partial 16S ribosomal RNA". It matches the Rfam family "Bacterial small subunit ribosomal RNA", at positions 523 to 796 of the family's 1533-position model. The record is from RNAcentral.